Molecule: ribosomal RNA, 270 nt
Filed under: uncultured bacterium
Lineage: Bacteria
Description: partial 16S ribosomal RNA
Rfam family: Bacterial small subunit ribosomal RNA
Source: RNAcentral
CUUCCGAUGGCGACCGGCGCACGGGUGAGUAACACGUAUCCAACCUGCCGAUAACUCGGGGAUAGCCUUUCGAAAGAAAGAUUAAUAUCCGAUAGGAUAUCAAGGUCGCAUGAUCUUGAUAUUAAAGAAUUUCGGUUAUCGAUGGGGAUGCGUUCCAUUAGUUAGUUGGCGGGGUAACGGCCCACCAAGACGACGAUGGAUAGGGGUUCUGAGAGGAAGGUCCCCACAUUGGAACUGAGACACGGUCCAAACUCCUACGGAAGGCAGCAG